Molecule: long non-coding RNA, 1527 nt
Filed under: Anolis carolinensis (green anole)
Lineage: Eukaryota; Metazoa; Chordata; Lepidosauria; Squamata; Anolidae
Description: lncRNA (ENSACAG00000038285.1)
Source: RNAcentral
AUGUUCAUGUUUCCUACAGUAAAAGUUCCUGGUGAUACCACAGAGAGUCUCGUGUGUUCAUUCAGGAGCGGCUGUGGUGAGCUGACACUAAGCCAAGAAUACGGACACCAUCCCGCUGUAGCGGUGAGGUGUAACAUGCAAGUGGAGGAUGAAGAGCUCUUGGGCGCCGGAGGAGGAAGGUCGGAAAGGGCCACUCCCGAGACGGACGCUGAGUUCCACCAGCUGGCGGCCCUGGCGUCAUCCACCGCUUAUGCCCAGCCAAAUGGGGUAACCCAGAGGCGCGGAGUGGUGCGGGGAGAUAGCACCGGAGGAGAGGAAGGUUCACCUUCCCCAGGCCCGCAAAAGAUGGUGUUUCUGGAGGAGAGGAUGUCGGCGAUGGAGACCACCCUGGCAGUGAUGUCGAGGGCGAUGGAGCGCCUGGCGGUUUUGGCGGAGCCGGAGCGAGGAAGGGAACUCCGGGCUAGCUCAAUGUGGGACGUGAGCAUGGGAAGCAGCCAGGGCUUUGCAGACCUCCCAGCACCGAAGGGAAGGGAAAUGCGAAAGGAGCCCGGUGCCCGGCCCAAGAUCCAAACGAGCCUGACGCGGGUGGAGGAGAGUGACGACGAAGGGGAAAAGCCUCCGAGAAUCCCGGCUACGCUCCCAACUGAGACCCUGGUGCCCCUGGCGAAUGCCGGGCGUGGCACAGGACAAAGGGAAGCAGCAGCGGGGCCCACUGGCCCGCAAGGGGGCUUGCGACGGGCGGAGAAUUGGGGAUUGCCACCACAGGGACCCCUACCGAGACGAGAGGAACUAAGGAUCGAGUUUGGGGGAGAGUCCUCUGAACUGGAUUUUUUCCUGACCACGGUGAGGGGCUAUAUGGAGGACAAUGCCCACACUUUUAGAACGGAAUCCAGCCGGGUACGGGCCAUUGGUGCAGUGUUGAAGAGGGGAGCGGCCAGCUGGUACGUUCAACUACACGCGCGGCGCGACCCAUGUCUGGGGUCACUCCGACGCUUUAUGGGGGCCCUGGAGACCCGUUUCCGAGAUCCACUGGAGCAGAUCCGGGCGAGGGAGGAGUUGAAGACCGUCUCCCAGGGGCAGAGGUCGGUAUCUGAGUAUGCGGAGGAGUUCCAAUGCCUCGCUGAAAAGGUGCCGGAAUGGUCUGCAGUGACAAAGAUAGAACUCUUCAAAGAGGGGCUCAGGCGGGAGAUCCUCUCCUGGGCGGUGCAUCGUGAUGAGCCUGACACACUGCGCGGAUGGAUUCAGCUGGCGGGGCGCAUCGAGACAUCGCUGGCCCAGGCGAGGAGGCACCGAGGAGGGCUACAGCAGCGGCCGCAGAUGAAAGAGGGGAGCCGGAAGGAGGGAUCAACCCCAGCCGGGAGGAGAACGGAGCCGACAGGGAACGUGAGCACCAGCAGGAGGGGCUGCUUCGUGUGCGGCCGUUUGGGCCACAGGGCUGCCGAGUGCUGGCAGAGAAAAGGGGAAGGCGGAGGCCCGCCCAAACCAAGAGCCGUGGCAGGAAACGCGCCGAGGAAGAACCCCCGAUGA